GUGCAUGAACAAUGAGUUUAUAUCAAAACAUCACUUGAACAUUUCUAUUUCUCAUUCAAGCCUUUUGCAACUUGAAGAACAAAGUUAAAUGCUACUACGGACCAGUUCCUAAAGUUAGUAUUUUGUUGUCCUUAGUUGAAUUGUAACUUUGUGAUUGUUCUUAUUGUAUCUCCUAAACUACUUAGCCAGAAGCGUCAAUUAGGAAUCCUCUUGUAAAAUCCGUAAACUCUCCGAGUUUAUGUUGUGACUAGAUUUAGUCAUAAGUUAAAGUCUUUGUAACUAGAGAGUGACAAAGUGGCUUGUGGUGAGAGUAUCAUAAGUUAGUUAAAGUCUUUGUAGCUAGAGUGUCACAAAGUGGCUUGUGGUGAGCGUACCACAAGUUAGUUGAGUUGAAUCCUUUGUAAUAGAGUUAUUACAACGUGGAUUGUAAUAGGUGUUUACAAGUUAGCGAAGUUGAAAGCCUACAGGUGUAGGUCGGGGUUUUUGUCCCCAUCAGUUGGGAGUUUUUCACGUAAAAAUUCUUUGUCUCAUUUACUUACAGUUUUACUAGCAUUCUCAGCAUAACCUCAUAGAGGACCAGGUACUCCACUGUUUGGUGGACUCAUACAAAUUAUCAAUUGGUAUUAGAGUAGGUUCCUCCUAUCAUGCUAACACCUAGGAAGGAUACUUAUGGCUGCUCCACCAAAUUUUAAAGAAGGUCAAUCUACAUACCGACCACCCAGGUUCAAUGGACAAUACUAUGGGUGGUGGAAAACAAGAAUGCAUGAUUUUAUCAUGGCCAAGGAUUCUGAGUUAUGGGAUGUCAUAUGUGAUGGUCCUUAUGUUCCAACAAAGGUACUGGAAGAACUUCUAUUUUCAAUGUCAAAAACCAGUAAAGAAUACACCGAUGCAGACAGGAAAGCUGUGGAGAAGAUUUUUUGUGCCAAGAACAUUCUGGUAUAUGGAAUAGGACCUGAAGAAUAUAAUAGAAUCUCAUCUUGCGACACUGCUAAGGAGAUAUGGGAAGCUUUGCAAAUAGCUCAUGAGAGAACCACCCAAGUAAAAUAGUCUUAGAUCGAUAUUCUCACUACCGAGUAUGAAAUCUUCAGGAUGAAGGACGAUGAAUCUAUUCAAGAUAUGCACACAAGAUUCACUUCCAUCAUAAAUGAGUUACACUCACUUGGUGAAACCAUUCUUAGAAACAAGCUAGUGAGGAAAAUCCUCAAUAUUCUACCUGGCCCUUGGUAAAGCAAGGUGAAUGCUGUUACUGAAUCAAAAGACUUGCAGGAGCUGACCAUAGAAGAGCUGGUUGGAAAUAUGAAGACCUACGAGAUGAAGAGGAAGAUAGACAUUGAAAGAAGAGAACCAAAGAAAGAAAAGAACCCGGUACUCAAAGCUGAUAGCAAUGACUCAAGUGAGGAAUACAGUGAUAUGGCUUACUUAACUAAAAAAUUUCAGAAGAUGGUCAGAAGAAAUGGAGAAAUGCUAAAAAGGGGCAGCUCUAGCAAACCAAAAAAACUAUGAUCUCUGUCAUAAGUGUGGAAAUCCUAGACACUUCAUCAAAGACUGUCCUCUCUUGAAGCAAGAUUUCUCCAAGAACAACCCUGAAAAAGCAGCUAAGAGGAACCCGAUUCCUUUCAAGGACUUCAAAAGAAAGAGAUCUGCUGACACUGUGAUGAAAUAGGCUCUUGCAACAUGGAGAGAUUCCUCUGGUGAGUCUGAAGAUGAAAUUGAUGUUGGUGAUAGUUCCAUGAUGGCACUUGAAUACGAGAAAAAUGAAUAUGACUCAAAUUUCGCUUUGAUGGACCAAUUAGAUCAUGAUAAAGACGAUGACAACAAGGAGGUAAAUUUUAGGGAUGUUCAGAGAAUUCUGAAAUCCUACUCUUCUAAGAAACUCAUGUCUUUAGCUAGUGUAUUGAUUGAUGCCAAUCAUAGUCUUAUGGAGGAUAGGGAUUCCUUGACCUUAGAACUAGGAGAAGCUGAACAAACUAGAGAUAACUUAGUGGCUGUAGUUAUUGACCAUAAGGAAACCAUUGAAAACUUCAAAGAAGAAAGAAAUGAUCUCUUGGCAGUAAUUACAAACCUAAGGGAAACAAUAGAGAGACCAGGGACUAAUUCAAAACAUGGAAAUUCUAAAAAAGGAAAAGAGAUAGCCCGUAAGGAACACAUUAGGCUUGAAAAUGUGUUGAAGGCUGUGAGAACUAGGAUACGUGUUGAAACUGAGAAAAACAAGCACCUCCACACUGAUCUAAAAAGAGUAAAGAAUGAUCUUGAAAAGUUUCUAAAGUGGACUUGGUCCUCAUAAGGGAUAGGGUUCCAAAGGGAGAAAACUCCUUACAAUCCUUACAGUAAGUGCGCCACUAUUUCUGAUAACUGGGUUUGUACCCACUAUGGGAACAAUAGGCACUUCACAGAAAAUUUCCAGGGUAGGGUUCAAUCUGUUCAGAAAAAUAAAGUGUUUGCUGAAAAAGUGACUACAAAAGAGGGACCAGGUUCCAUUCACAAAAAGCGUACAUUACCUGCAUGGAGUAAGAGAGCUCUUAUUCAUCUUUUUGCCUACUACAAGGGACCCAAACUUGCUUGGGUUCCUAAAACUAACUCUUGAUCUUCUUGUGCAGGCAAUAGUGAAAGGAAGUGGUUAACAAUGGUUCAUGGAUAGUGGGUGUUCAAAGCACAUGACUGGGAAUACCAUGGACUUUCUUUCACUAAAAGCCCUGUAAGGAGGGAGUGUAUCCUUUGGAAAUGGAAAAAAGGGGUACAUUCUUGAAGUUGGAAAAGUCGGGAAGUCACUUACUCAUUCUAUUGAAAAUGUGUACUAUGUCAAUGGCCUUAAGUACAACCUCUUGAGUGUCUCUCAGAUAUGUGAUAAAGGAAACAAGGUGGAAUUCUUGUCCAAGAUAUGUACAAUUACUGAUCUGGUAACUGGUGAAGUGGUACUUGUGGCCAAGAGAUACAAGAACAUCUAUGUUGCUAAUUUAGAGGCCUUACAAAGUGGUGAUCUGAGUUGUCUGAAAACUGUUAAUGAUGAUGCUGAACUGUGGCACACAAGCUUUUCUCUUCUGAACAAACUAAUUGAGAAGGAUCUGGUCCAUGGUUUGCCCAUGUCAAAGUUCAAGGUGCAAAAAAUUUGUGAUGCAUGUGCUAGAGGAAAACAUAUGAAGUCCUAUUUUAAGUCAAAAAGGGAUGUGAGCACCUCAAAGCCACUAAAGCUUUUGCAUAUAGACCUAUGUGGUCCUAUGAGAGUGCAAAACAGAGGAGGAAAAAGAUAUAUUUUUGUGAUAGUGGAUGACUACUCCAGAUUCACAUGGACUCUGUUUCUUAGAACUAAAGAUGAAACCUUUGAGGUGUUUGUGGCCUUUGUGAAGAAAAUCUAGGUGAAGAUGGAGUCUAGGGUCGCAUGUAUUAGGUCAGAUCAUGGAACAAAAUUUGACAAUGCCAAAUUUGAUGAGUUCUGCAAUGAAAAUGGCAUCAUCCACAACUUCUCAACUCCCAUAACUCCCCAGCAAAAUGGAGUAGUGGAAAGGAAUAACAGAACUCUGGAAGAAAUGGCAAGAACAAUGCUAAUCGACAGUGGAAUUGCAAAGAACUUCUGAACUGAAGCGGUCAACACUGUCUGCUACUUGGUGAAUAGGUGCAUGAUCAGAUUCCUCCUGCACAAAACCCCAUAUGAGUUGCUGAAUGAAAGGAAACCCAAGCUGACUCACUUAAGAACAUUUGGGUGCAAAUGCUAUGUUCUCAAUAAUGGGAAGGAUCAGCUUGGUAAAUUUGAUGCCAAAAGUGAUGAAGGAAUAUUUCUAGGCUACUCUUCUCAAAGCAAAGCAUACAAGAUAUAUAAUAAGUGGACUUAAUGUGUUGAGAAAAGUGUUCAUGUUAUUUUUGAUGAGUCUUAUCCAUCCUAUGAGAAGAGUGCUGAAGAAGAUCAAGAUGGAGAACCCUUACUAGUCUCUGGUGAAGUCAUGGACAUGACAAAUGGAAAGACAGACAUGAUGAGCCAAGUAAAAGAGCUGAGUGAAGACAAUACUGCCUCAUCUUCAAUGGAACCAAGUACUUCAAUUACAACCACUGAAGUUGAAGAAAGAGUAGUUGAUGCAGUUCAGGGCACUCCACUAGCACUUGAGAGAAGAACAUAGGAAAAUCAAUCAAAUGUACCCACAUUCUCUCUAAAUGAGCCUCAGACGUCUAACUGGAGACACAAAAGCUCUCAUCCUCUUGACAACAUAAUUACCUCUCUAGAUUUAGGAGUACAAACCAGGUCAAAACAAAAAUUCUUUUUCCUUCUCAGUCUUUCUCUCCCAAAUAGAACCCAAGAAUAUCAAGGAAGCCUUGAAAGAUGUAGAUUGGAUUACAGCCAUGCAAGACGAGUUGUAUCAGUUUGAAAGGAACAAUGUCUGGCACCUGGUACCUAGACCCUCAGAUCGAACCAUUAUAGGAAUCAGGUGGGUAUUCAGGAACAAGCUUGAUGAACAUGGAAAUACUACAAGGAACAAGGCCAGGCUAGUGGUUCAAGGCUACAAUCAGGAGGAAGGGAUUUACUAUGAUGAAACGUUUGCUCCGGUCGCUCGCAUGGAAGCUAUUAGAAUUCUAAUCGCUUUUGCAUAUCAUAUGGAAUUUGCCUUGUCCCAAAUGGAUUUCAAAAAUGCAUUUCUGAAUGGACUUCUUAAGGAAGAAGUCUAUGUGAAGCAACCUCCAGGGUUUGAAUGUCAUUAACACCCUGAAUAUGUAUUUAAACUGGACAAGGCAUUGUAUGGGCUGAAGCAGGCUCCUUGAGCUUGGUAUGAAAGGCUAUCAAAGUUCCUCUCAAAAAAUGGCUUUAAAAGAGAGAAAAUUGACAACACCCUAUUCCUAAAGAAAUGGGGAAGGAACCUGCUCAUUAUUCAGGUCUAUGUUGAUGAUAUCAUUUUUGGGGCAACAACUGAUUCUCUGUGUGAAAAAUUUGCAAAACUCAUGGGAAGUGAGUUUAAAUGAGUAUGAUGGGGGAGCUAAACUUAUUCUUGGGUCUUCAAGUAAAACAAUUCCCAAACGGUACAUUUAUUUGUCAGCAAAAAUAUAUCAGGGAGCUCUUGAAGAGGUUUGACAUGGAAGCAUCAAAAGUGAUAGACACUCUCAUUUCUACGACCACUUGACUGGACAUGGAUGAAACUGGGCCUCCUGUAAAUCAAACCAUGUAUAGAGGCAUUAUUGGUUCUCUUCUCUAUCUUACUACCAGUAGACCUGAUAUUGUCUUCAGUGUAGGGUUAUGUGCAAGGUUUCAAUCAAAUCCCAAGGAAUCUCAUUUGAAAGCAACCAAAAGAAUUCUAAGAUAUCUUAAAGGAACACAGGACCUGGUCUUUUAUUAUCCAUCAGGUGACAGUUUUAAUCUCAUUGGUUAUACUGAUGCAGACUAUACAGGUUAUCUUAUGGAUAGGAAAAGCGCUUCUGGAAUGGCUCACUUCCUAGGUUCAUGUAUCAUCUCUUGGGGCACAAGGAAACAAAACUUAGUGGCUCUUUCAACAGCUGAAGUAGAAUAUGUAGCCACAACAUCCUGCUGUGCCCAACUUUUAUGGAUCAAGCAGCAACUGGAGGACUUUUGGGUACUCACUGAGAGUGUGCCUCUUCUAUGUGAUAACACAAGUGCACUCAACAUGGCCAAUAAUCCAGUUCAACACAAAAGGACCAAGCAUAUUGAUGUGAGACAUCACUUUCUGAGGGACAAUGUGGAGAAAGGGUUGAUAUGUAUGAAGUUCUGUAGUACAGGAGAUCAAAUUGCAGACAUAUUUACUAAGGCAUUAAGUAGGGAACACUUUUAAAGAAAUAGAGUAAAGUUGGGGCUUUUAAAGCCCAAUUGAGAACUUGAUUCCUCAUUAUUUGGCUAUUAAAAUCAUCUUCAAGAAAAAUUGGCUAAAAGUGUUUUCUAGCCCCGUCUAACUCACUUCAAUACCGUUGCAGGUAAACACGCAUGAUGAGUAUAGAGUCUGUAGAUGUAGUGCAUGGAUGAUAAACGAGGAUUAAUAUUUUCAAAUAACAGGUCAAGAACCUGAUUCUUGUACCAAAGGUUAGUAGUUCUGUGCAUUCAUUAAUACACGUCUUAAAAAGGUACAAAACAUAACUGCCAAGUCAUCCAACUUUUCAGAUCCUGCUGUCACAUCUCUUCACUUCAAAUCAUUCCAUCUCCCUUUGAAACGUUGCACUUCUCCAUGCCCAACCGUCAUUUCAGAACCGGUCCCUAUCUCUCUCUAUUCAUAAUUAUCCAUUCUUAAUAAAACCCCCUUUUUGUUCUCCACAAAUAAGUCCUCUAUUAGAACUUCCCAAAGCAUCUUCACACCAUCCUUCUAAUGGCUGAGACAAACUCCGGCCUCCCUGCCUCAGUCAUACAUGCUACUGAUAAACCUAUGGAGUCCUCCAUCCCUACCGAGCCUUCUUUAACCACUCUUACCCUUCCCGCUAAAAUCAUACCUCACCCAGAUUCCCCGUCUCUCUCUAUUUCAGAAAACCUUAAAAUUGUUGAUCCGUCCUCUCCAUCUUCUAAGGUUCCCACUAAUAAAAGACCAAAUGGAGAACAAGGUCAAAAUCUUGAGGUCACAGAGGGUUCCGCCAUUGUUGCUACCGAUUCCGUGGUGGCAGUAGUGCCGAUUGAGGAAAAAAAUAUUGUAACCAUCUUUGUGGUAUGUGCUGAUAGUGUACUGCAAGAGAUCAUCUCUCAGAAAAAUGAGGUACAAGGUAUGGGGACGAAUGGGCCAUUGUAACUAUUGAAGGAGCUGCACUGGCAGAUACUACUGGGCCCUCACAUGAGGAACCUGACCCCUCUCCGGAGGACCUAGGUCAGGGUUCUCAUUCCUAGUACAGUUCUGCUCUUGCAUUCAUUGUUGUGCCCUUGGAAAUACAGGCACCUAAGAUGAGGUCCAAUAAAAAGGAGGAUCUUGAUAACCUGGCUCUCUAUGCAUUCAUAGUUAAGCGAAGGGUGGUGUCCACUCCUGAGUCUUCCACCAAGCGACCCACCACUAGGUUGCAAGCUAAGAUGGCCUAUGUCUCUGCCCUUCAAAAGAGUAGAAAAGAUAGGAAGAAGCAAAGGAGGAAGCUGGUGAAAUAUGGUGUGCCCGUAAGUGAUAAGGUGAUUCUUGUGGUAGAGGUGGAAGAGGAAACACCAGAUGAACCUGGUUCACUAGUUAGACGGUCUCAGAAAAAGAAGCAGCCUACUUCAGUAGAGAAGGUUUCAACCUCUGGCUCCAAGUUGAAGGAUGUUGUGAGUGAGUUCUCGAUAUCUGAUGAGGAUAUGUUAGUCAAAACCAAGGGAAACGAGAAAUCAAGUGGUGGGGAGUCCAACAAAUGGAAGUUUGAAAUUGUUCAGGAACCUGGUUAUGUGAAGAGGAUGAGAAGUGAAGUCAGCCUUGGCUCAGAACACGUGAGGCACCAAAACAUUCUGUUGGGUCGUACGUUCGACCCAUCAAUCUCUGAGAUGGCUGGUAUGCACCAAAUUCUUGAAAUGAUUGAGUUUCAAUGAUGGGGGCAUCUAUUCCAAAUAGAUGCACCUAAGGCAUAUGAGGAUGAGGUACAAAGCUUCUUUGCUAGCCUCUUUCCCGAUGAGACCGACCACAUCUGUGCUAUGGUGAAUGGAGUAGAUAUCGUAUUCGAUGUACAAUUGCUUGGAGAAAUUCUUAAAGUUCCCACAGCUGGUAUGUCCAGUGUAAAGGAUGUGUGUCAGUUUAACUUUAGAAAUGCCGUGGUAAAAGACAAUGCAAACCAAAAGGGGGACUAGAUCCAUAGGAAAGCGUUACUCCCUAUCUACCAGUUGCUUUUCGAAUUGGUAAACAAAGUUCUAUUGCCUCGAGCUGAGAGGAGGUCUGUGACCUCUAAGUCUGACCUAUUCUUAAUGGAGCAACUGGAUAGCUUCACUCUUGUGAGCCUUCCUGCUAUUAUGAUUGAACACAUGCAAAAGGUCACCCCCUUCAAAGAUAGUAGCUAUGGCCUUCCCUACGGGUUCUUGCUUACGUGAGUGUUUAAAUUCUUUGAGGUGCCACUGGGGAUAGGCAAGGUGGGGACUAAUAAGAACAUUAAAAGAAUGCGAGUGCAUAGAAAAGAGUGGGGGAGUAGGAAGUACAUCAACCAUCUCACAACUUAUUAAUGCUCAGAACAGUGCAACUGAGGAGAUUCGUCGGUUGAAGGCCAGGAAUGCUAUCCUGGAAGGUCAGCAAGCCCAAGGGGUUCCGGCAUCAAAUGAUGAAGUAGCUCGUUUGACAAAAGAGAAUGUUGAUAUUAGGGAGCAAGUGGAGAAGCUGAAAGCAGAACUGCUCAAUGAGCAAACUUCGGCCAAUGCCCGAAUAGACCUUGUUCUCCAAACACUUGUUGCAGCUUCCAAGCCCUCUACUCCUAGUGCCCCCUAAGUACCCUUUCAGUGACUAGUAUCUGGAAAUGUUCUUUUAAGUUUUUUUUUGUGUUAUUUGGCAGAUGUUUUGUUUUCCUUUUUUUGAUGUGGUUGGGAUGAAACAAUACUGCUCCCAUUUUAACAGUCCAAUGUUGCCUUUGCUUUUUAAGCAAAGGCAUAUAAAGUUUUUUUCAAUAUCAAAUCUAUCCUCUUUUAUUAUCUCAUUGCUUUAAUUCUAUGUUUCUCUUCUCUAUCAUGUUGUGUGCACAUUCAUGGAAUGAGUUGGCUCGGCUAGACUUCUUUAUGCUGUUUAUCUGUUUGUGUCUUUUUAAUGAUGCCAAAAGGGGGAAUAAUAAUAAAUAAGUGUGUAGUAGAUAAUAAUGAGAAAUAAGGAAGGCAUAAAGUCAGGGGGAACUACUUGUGAAACUUGUGUUCUCCUGUUACUUAAUCUGGUUCUCAAUGCUCUAAAUUGACUUUAUCCAUGUUAAGUUUGUCAUCAUCAAAAAGGGAGAAAUUGAUAGAGUUUAAAUGUCUUUGCCUUAUGUUUUGAUGAUCUAGCAAACUUACUGUUAAGAACCAGAUAGGGAACCUGACACACUUGGACUAGACUGCAAGAUUAACAGAUUCUAGCUAAAUGUGAACUGUUAUAGCUUCAGGAGAUAGAAAACCAAAUAAGGACCUGAUACCCUUGUGGUUCCCUCAUAGCAUUACAAAGUUAAUUGGGCACAGCUGGACGCGACGUGACCGCCUGCACUAUUUCUGCCUGCACUGCACUAUUUUCAGUGCCCACUUAUUCCUUGACCAACUAAAGUGCUUACAUCAUUUCAAGUGAUGUCAUCAACGUGUAUCAACAAUGAGUUUAUAUCAAAACAUCACUUGAACAUUUCUAUUUCUCAUUCAAGCCUUUUGCAAAACAGAGAAAUCAAUUCUUACGAGCUUGAAGAACAAAGUUAAACGCUACUACAAACCAGUUCCUAAAGUUAGUAUUUUGUUGUUCUUAGUUGAGUUGUAACUUUCUGAUUGUUCUUAUUGUAUCUCCUAAACUGCUUAGCCAGAAGCGUCGAUUAGGAAUCCUCUUGUAAAAUCCAUAAACUCUCCGAGUUUAUGUUGUGACUAGGUUUAGUCAUAAGUUAAAGCCUUUGUAACAGAGAGUGACAAAGUGGCUUGUGGUGAGAGUAUCAUAAGUUAGUUAAAGUCUUUGUAACUAAAGAGUCACAAAAUGGCUUGUGGUGAGAGUACCACAAGUUAGUUGAGUUGAAUCCUUUGUAAUAGAGUUAUUAUAAAGUGGCUUGUAAUAUGUGUUUAAAAGUUAGUGAAGUUGAAAGCUUAUAGGUGUAGGUCAUGGUUUUUGUCCCCUUGAGUUGGUAUUUUUCCACGUAAAAAUCCUGUGUCUCAUUUACUUACAGUUUUACUAGCAUUCUCAGCAUAAACUCAUAGAGGACCAGGUACUCUACUGUUUGGUGGACUCAUACAAAUUAUCAAACUGGCAAUAUUAGAAGACCAUUGAGAGACACCAACAAUCUCUCUCUGAGUUUGAUAGUACCUACUGGCAUUAGAUUGCCCAUACCUCUCAUCUAUAUAUUUCUUAUUCUCCCUUGCAGUGUCACAAUGCAAAACAUUAUCAACAAUAUCUUUAGACAAAGAAAUGCUUAACCAUGUAAAUACCAUAUUGUUGCAUCUCACCCAAUGAUUAUAGAUAAGGGAAGAAGGAGGUGGAUUGGAGUUUCUUCUAUUGAUCAUCCGAGCCUUGUUCUUUGCACAAAUGCAAUGAGAACAUUUUUCUUCCAGGAUGCGUAACCGGUUCCAUUGAAAAGUACUGGUAUAAGUAAGCUUUGCGGGUUAUCAGAUAGAUGUACAUAUAGAGGAUAUAGAGGAUGGGAAGAGUCAAUGGAAUGGCUAAUGGUGGAGUCAACAAUUGAAGGGGUUGUGUAAGCGUCGGUACUCAUAUUCACUAAACAACACUAUUGUUCAACUAACAAUUAAAUGAUUCUCACAGUACAAGCAACAAGUAAGUGAAAAGUAUACAUGCAUCUAUCCGUGACCUCAGAUAAAAUAUGCAACACAAAGAAUAACACCAAAAUCUCAAGCUAGGGCCC
RNAcentral lists this long non-coding RNA (10413 nucleotides) under Nicotiana tabacum (common tobacco). RNAcentral describes it as "long non-coding RNA (NTAB_LNC006489)". The record is from RNAcentral. Lineage: Eukaryota; Viridiplantae; Streptophyta; Magnoliopsida; Solanales; Solanaceae.